Molecule: ribosomal RNA, 476 nt
Filed under: Pseudomonas aeruginosa
Lineage: Bacteria; Pseudomonadati; Pseudomonadota; Gammaproteobacteria; Pseudomonadales; Pseudomonadaceae
Description: bacterial SSU rRNA
Rfam family: Bacterial small subunit ribosomal RNA
Source: RNAcentral
AUUGAACGCUGGCGGCAGGCCUAACACAUGCAAGUCGAGCGGAUGAAGGGAGCUUGCUCCUGGAUUCAGCGGCGGACGGGUGAGUAAUGCCUAGGAAUCUGCCUGGUAGUGGGGGAUAACGUCCGGAAACGGGCGCUAAUACCGCAUACGUCCUGAGGGAGAAAGUGGGGGAUCUUCGGACCUCACGCUAUCAGAUGAGCCUAGGUCGGAUUAGCUAGUUGGUGGGGUAAAGGCCUACCAAGGCGACGAUCCGUAACUGGUCUGAGAGGAUGAUCAGUCACACUGGAACUGAGACACGGUCCAGACUCCUACGGGAGGCAGCAGUGGGGAAUAUUGGACAAUGGGCGAAAGCCUGAUCCAGCCAUGCCGCGUGUGUGAAGAAGGUCUUCGGAUUGUAAAGCACUUUAAGUUGGGAGGAAGGGCAGUAAGUUAAUACCUUGCUGUUUUGACGUUACCAACAGAGUAAGCACCGCUAA